CACGGAAAGAACCUAGAAGCUCCGAGCGGUUGCAGACAGCACUGCAUUGAGCCAACGACUCCUGCUCUACUGAUGGUGAUUCCACAGCUUUGUGAGGAAUAAGUUAAGAUGAAUUACAGUUUCCCCUGGACUUCUUUCUCUCUCCUGCCGCCUUGUGAAGAAGGUGCCUGCCUCCCCUUCCACCACGAUUCUAAGUUUCCUGAAGUCUCCCCAGCCAUGCUGAACUGAUAAGGUCCAUCUUGGCAAAUGGUCUGUGUGCACAAGAAAGAAUGUGAAUUCUGCAGUUGUUGGAAUGUUAUCUUAUCUGGAAGAAGAGGAAUAGGAAAGAAAAGGAGUCAGGAAUGGAUCUUACUCAGAAGGCUGACUAGACACAGCCAGGUGGAAGAGCUCCCACUGCGGGACCAAGAUGACUGGAAUGCCCCUAACAGAUCUUCAGAGGGAAGAAACCAGGAGUGGACAGAGAGAAGACACAGAAGCUGGGCUGAAGGUAGUGAAAGCUGGGAAUGUGGCACAGGACUACUGCACACCAGGUUUUGUUCCUGGCCCACAAUGGCUCUGGGGGAUCAGGUUGAAGGAAAAUUACCCUGGAUGGAAGAUCAGAGGUAUAGAAAGAAAUGGAGAGCAAAGAAAGAGGUCUGCAGGCUCAGAAGUCCAAGAUCAAGGAGCUGGCAUUGGAUGAGGGACUUCUUGCUGCAUCAUCCCAUGACAGAAGGACAAAGAAAGGGAGGGAGAGAGACAAAGAGAGAGUGAGAAAGAGAAAGAGGGGGGAAAAUUCUCUCUGUCUACCUUUUAUAAUGAACCUACUCUCGUGAUAACUGACCCACUCCUGUGAUUGAUAAUGGCAUUAAUUCAUUCACUUGGCCCUCAUGUCCUAAUGACCGUUCAUUAGGCCCCAUCUCCCAACACUGUUGCAUUGGGAUCAAGUUUUCAACACAUAGAAUUUGGGAGACACAUUCAAACCAUAGCACGCAUUAUUAACAGCCUCCAUUAGAGUGGUACAUUUGUUACAAAUGAUGAAACUACAUUGACACCUCAUUAUAACCCAAUAUUCAUAGUUUAUACUAUGUUCACUCUUGCUAUAUUUCAUGGGAUUUGACAAAUGUAUAAUGACAUAUAUCCACCAUUAGGUAUCAAACAUAAUAUUUUCAGUGCCCUAAAAAUCCUGUGUUUUGCCCAGUUAUCCCUCUCAUUCCCCUGACUCCUGGCAACCACUGACCUUUUACGCCUCUAUGGUUUUGCCUUUGCCAGAAUUUUACAUGGCUGAAAAUAUAUAGUAAGUAGCCUUUUCACAAUGGCUUCUUUCACUUAGUAAUAUGCAUUUAACUUUUCUCCAUGUCUCUUCAUGGUUUGAUAGCUUCCAUCUUUUUACUGCUAAAUAAUAUUUUCUGCUGAAUAUGCCACAGUUAAUUUAUGCACCUAGUGAAGAACAUCUUGGUUGUUUCCAAGUUUUGGCAAUUAUGAAUGAAGCUGACAUAAACAUCUAUGUGCAGGUUCUUAUGAGGAUAUAUUUUCAACUUUUUUGGGUAUAUGUCAAGGAGAGUGAUUGCUGGAU
This is a long non-coding RNA of Homo sapiens (human), 1552 nucleotides long. Ensembl annotates it as COP1 divergent transcript. Its record names the gene COP1-DT. NCBI's taxonomy places the organism in Eukaryota, Metazoa, Chordata, Mammalia, Primates, Hominidae. The record is from Ensembl.